Molecule: ribosomal RNA, 253 nt
Filed under: uncultured bacterium
Lineage: Bacteria
Description: partial 16S ribosomal RNA
Rfam family: Bacterial small subunit ribosomal RNA
Source: RNAcentral
UACGUAGGAUGCAAGCGUUGUCCGGAUUUAUUGGGUUUAAAGGGUGCGUAGGCGGCAUAUUAAGUUCGUGGUGAAAACGUUCGUUUUAACCGGACACCCGCCAUUGAUACUGAUAGACUUGAGUGCGACAGAGGGUGUUGGAAUGUGUGGUGUAGCGGUGAAAUGCUUAGAUAUCACGCAGAACACCAAUUGCGAAGGCAGAUGCCUAUGUCGUAACUGACGCUGAGGCACGAAAGCGUGGGGAGCAAACAGG